UGAGCUUGAUCCUGGCUCAGGAUGAACGCUAGCGGCAGGCUUAACACAUGCAAGUCGAGGGGUAGAGUUCUUCGGAGCUUGAGACCGGCGCACGGGUGCGUAACGCGUAUGCAAUCUACCUUUUACAGAGGGAUAGCCCAGAGAAAUUUGGAUUAAUACCUCAUAGUAUAAUUGAAUGGCAUCAUUUAAUUAUUAAAGUCACAACGGUAAAAGAUGAGCAUGCGUCCCAUUAGCUAGUUGGUAAGGUAACGGCUUACCAAGGCUACGAUGGGUAGGGGUCCUGAGAGGGAGAUCCCCCACACUGGUACUGAGACACGGACCAGACUCCUACGGGAGGCAGCAGUGAGGAAUAUUGGACAAUGGGCGCAAGCCUGAUCCAGCCAUGCCGCGUGCAGGAUGACGGUCCUAUGGAUUGUAAACUGCUUUUGUACAGGAAGAAACACUGGUUCGUGAACCAGCUUGACGGUACG
Molecule: ribosomal RNA, 470 nt
Filed under: Flavobacterium sp. 01WB03.1-55
Lineage: Bacteria; Pseudomonadati; Bacteroidota; Flavobacteriia; Flavobacteriales; Flavobacteriaceae
Description: bacterial SSU rRNA
Rfam family: Bacterial small subunit ribosomal RNA
Source: RNAcentral